CCUACGGGAGACAGCAGUGGGGAAUAUUGCGCAAUGGGCGAAAGCCUGACGCAGCGACGCCGCGUGAGGGAUGAAGGUCUUCGGAUCGUAAACCUCUGUCAGCAGGGAAGAACGGUCACUGUGCUAAUCAGCAGUGAAUUGACGGUACCUGCAAAGGAAGCACCGGCUAACUCCGUGCCAGCAGCCGCGGUAAUACGGAGGGUGCGAGCGUUAAUCGGAAUUACUGGGCGUAAAGCGCUCGUAGGCGGUAUGUCAAGUCAAGGGUGAAAUCCCCGCGCUCAACGUGGGAACUGCCUUUGAAACUGGCAGACUGGAGUGUGUGAGAGGAUAGUGGAAGUCGAGGGGUAGGAGGGAAAUCCGUAGAUAUCUGGAGGAACAUCAGUGGCGAAGGCGACUAUCUGGCACAUAACUGACGCUGAGGAGCGAAAGCGUGGGUAGCAAACAGGAUUAGAUACCCGAGUAGUC
This 465-nucleotide ribosomal RNA is filed under the name uncultured bacterium. Its description in RNAcentral is "partial 16S ribosomal RNA". It matches the Rfam family "Bacterial small subunit ribosomal RNA", at positions 338 to 795 of the family's 1533-position model. The record is from RNAcentral.